CUGUCUCUUCGAGGAAGAGAAUGUUGAGCUGCUACAUGCUGCUAGAGGAAUUAAUACUUUGCUCUUCAUUACCAGAGAGGAAAAGACACGUGCCAAUAAAGGGACGUCGGAUCCCGAGUCCAGAGGAAGCCACGCGGUGUCGUCUCUCCCUCUCCCGCACCCACACACCACACACAACAAAAAAAAUACACAACGCAGAGUGAGAGCAUCAGCUCUCGGACUUUAACCGGGACUAUGUUUUAACUGGACUCGCUUGGCGCGAUCGGGCUGUAAACAAAGACCCAAACGAGACCGGUUACAUUUUCUGCCUCAA
Long non-coding RNA from Brienomyrus brachyistius, 313 nucleotides. RefSeq lists it as uncharacterized. The transcript is spliced from 3 exons. NCBI's taxonomy places the organism in Eukaryota, Metazoa, Chordata, Actinopteri, Osteoglossiformes, Mormyridae. The record is from RefSeq and is a predicted model, not a curated record.